AGCAGCCGCGGUAAUUCCAGCUCCAAUAGCGUAUAUUAAAGUUGCUGCAGUUAAAAAGCUCGUAGUUGAAUUUCGGGAUUAGUACGCUGGUCAUGCCUUUGGUAUGUACUGGUGUUACUGGUUCCUACCUUCUGAAGAACCGUUAUGUCAUUAAUUUGGUGUGGCGGGGAAUCAGGACUGUUACUUUGAAAAAAUUAGAGUGUUUAAAGCAGGCUCGCGCUUGAAUACAUUAGCAUGGAAUAAUGAAAUAGGACGUUGAUCCUAUUUUGUUGGUUUCUAGGAUUGACGUAAUGAUUAAAUAGGGAUAGUUGGGGGCAUUAGUAUUCAAUUGUCAGAGGUGAAAUUCUUGGAUUUAUUGAAGACUAACUACUGCGAAAGCAUUUGCCAAGGAUGUUUUCGUUAAUCAAGAACGAAAGUUAGGGGAUCGAAGACGAUCAGAUACCGUCGUAGUCUUAACCAUAAACUAUGCCGACUAGGGAUCGGAUGAUGUUAAUUUUUAAUGACUCAUUCGGCGUCCUUA
This 520-nucleotide ribosomal RNA is filed under the name uncultured Glomus. RNAcentral's name for it is "SSU rRNA". It matches the Rfam family "Eukaryotic small subunit ribosomal RNA", at positions 569 to 1091 of the family's 1831-position model. The record is from RNAcentral. Lineage: Eukaryota; Fungi; Glomeromycota; Glomeromycetes; Glomerales; Glomeraceae.